Molecule: ribosomal RNA, 429 nt
Filed under: Pseudomonadota bacterium
Lineage: Bacteria; Pseudomonadati; Pseudomonadota
Description: Proteobacteria bacterium partial 16S ribosomal RNA
Rfam family: Bacterial small subunit ribosomal RNA
Source: RNAcentral
UGGGGAAUAUUGGACAAUGGGCGAAAGCCUGAUCCAGCCAUGCCGCGUGUGUGAAGAAGGUCUUCGGAUUGUAAAGCACUUUAAGUUGGGAGGAAGGGCAGUAAGCGAAUACCUUGCUGUUUUGACGUUACCGACAGAAUAAGCACCGGCUAACUCUGUGCCAGCAGCCGCGGUAAUACAGAGGGUGCAAGCGUUAAUCGGAAUUACUGGGCGUAAAGCGCGCGUAGGUGGUUCGUUAAGUUGAAUGUGAAAGCCCCGGGCUCAACCUGGGAACUGCAUCCAAAACUGGCGAGCUAGAGUAGGGCAGAGGGUGGUGGAAUUUCCUGUGUAGCGGUGAAAUGCGUAGAUAUAGGAAGGAACACCAGUGGCGAAGGCUACCACCUGGGCUCAUACUGACACUGAGGUGCGAAAGCGUGGGGAGCAAACAGG